CUCUCCUUUCCUCCUCCCUUCCUUUCUUUUUCCUCUCUUUCUUUCUUCCUCUCCCUCAUCAACCCUCCAACGAAACCAAUAGCCCUCCAACGGCCUCUGAAGGCUCUCUCUUCCUCUCCCUUUCCUUUUCUUCUUCACUCCCUCCCUCUCUUUUCCUCUCUUUCCAUCUCUCUCUAUUCUGCUAUGUCGGUUUGAGCCUGGUACAAAAUAGUUAGUAGGCAUACUAAAUGGUGCUACCAGUCUAUCAAUCUUGGAUCCCAAUAUCGGCAUAGUGAACCUUGAGUUCAACUAUUUUAGUACACUAGGAGCAAGACCAUAAUG
RNAcentral lists this long non-coding RNA (321 nucleotides) under Elaeis guineensis (African oil palm). Its description in RNAcentral is "long non-coding RNA (EGUI_LNC027664)". Lineage: Eukaryota; Viridiplantae; Streptophyta; Magnoliopsida; Arecales; Arecaceae. The record is from RNAcentral.